AACGAACGCUGGCGGCAUGCCUAACACAUGCAAGUCGAACGAGACCUUCGGGUCUAGUGGCGCACGGGUGCGUAACGCGUGGGAACCUGCCCUUAGGUUCGGAAUAACUCCCCGAAAGGGGUGCUAAUACCGGAUAAUGUCUUCGGACCAAAGAUUUAUCGCCUUUGGAUGGGCCCGCGUUGGAUUAGCUAGUUGGUAGGGUAAAAGCCUACCAAGGCGACGAUCCAUAGCUGGUCUGAGAGGAUGAUCAGCCACACUGGGACUGAGACACGGCCCAGACUCUUACGGGGGGAAGAAGUGGGGAAUAUGGGACAAUGGGCGAAAGCCUGACCCAGCAAGGCGGGGUGAGUGAUGAAGGCUUUAGGGUUGUAAAGCCCUUUUACCCGGAAUGAUAAUGACAGUACCGGGGGAAUAAGCCCCGGCUACCUCCGU
RNAcentral lists this ribosomal RNA (432 nucleotides) under uncultured bacterium. RNAcentral's name for it is "partial 16S ribosomal RNA". It matches the Rfam family "Bacterial small subunit ribosomal RNA", at positions 29 to 506 of the family's 1533-position model. The record is from RNAcentral.